RNAcentral lists this ribosomal RNA (305 nucleotides) under uncultured bacterium. RNAcentral describes it as "bacterial SSU rRNA". It matches the Rfam family "Bacterial small subunit ribosomal RNA", at positions 334 to 655 of the family's 1533-position model. The record is from RNAcentral.
UUGGCCUACGGGGGGCAGCAGUGGGGAAUAUUGCACAAUGGGGGAAACCCUGAUGCAGCGACGCCGCGUGAGUGAAGAAGUAUUUCGGUAUGUAAAGCUCUAUCAGCAGGGAAGAAGAAAGACGGUACCUGACUAAGAAGCCCCGGCUAACUACGUGCCAGCAGCCGCGGUAAUACGUAGGGGGCAAGCGUUAUCCGGAUUUACUGGGUGUAAAGGGAGCGUAGACGGCAGCGCAAGUCUGGAGUGAAAUGCCGGGGCCCAACCCCGGAACGGCUUUGGAAACCGUGCAGCUCGAGUGCCGGAAG